CCAGUCCACACUCCAUCCAUCACUCUUCCCGCCACAAUCAUACAUAACAAGGGCGCAAACAGUGCCAUUUUCUCUCUCCACUUCUCAAGUGGUCUCAUCACUCUCUGUAUCUCCUCUAUUCAAAUUUUAGGGUUCGCAAACGCAAUCGUACGAACUGAAAACGACAGUCAUGGGCGACGCUACGGGUUUCUCCGAUUUUCACCAUAUACGACCUCGGUCCGGAGCGGGUACCAUUACGAGGAUCCGACUAGAGAAUUUCAUGUGCCAUAGUAAUCUUCAAAUUGAGCUGUGCCCCUGGGUUAAUUUUGUCACUGGUCAAAACGGGAGUGGUAAAAGUGCAAUUCUGACUGCUUUGUGUAUUGCUUUUGGAAGUCGAGCUAAGGGGACUCAGAGAGCUGCUACAUUAAAGGAUUUUAUCAAAACUGGCUGCAGUUAUACUGUUGUUGAAGUGGAAUUGAAGAACCAAGGAGAUGAAGCUUUUAAGCAUGAAAUCUACGGCGAUGCAAUAAUUAUAGAACGUAGAAUAAACCAAUCUACAAGCUCUACAAUUUUGAAGGAUUUUCAAGGAAAAAAGGUUGCUAGUCGAAAAGAUGAACUGCGGGAGCUCAUUGAACAUUUUAAUAUUGAUGUUGAGAAUCCUUGUGUAAUAAUGAGUCAAGACAAAAGCAGAGAGUUCUUGCAUUCUGGAAAUGACAAGGAUAAGUUUAAGUUUUUCUUUAAGGCAACUCUUCUUCAACAAGUUAAUGAUCUUCUGCAAAGUAUUUACGAGCAAUUGCAAUCUACAAAUGCUCUUGUUGAUGAAUUGGAGGCUACAAUAAAACCCAUAGAGAAGGAACUCGUGGAGUUGCAAAUACAAAUUAAAAACAUGGAGCAUAUAGAAGAAAUUUCACUGAAGGUACAACAAUUAAAAAAGAUGCUCGCAUGGUCAUGGGUUUACAGUGUAGACAGGCAAAUAGAAGAUCAAACUGCAUUGAUUGAAGACCUUAAGACGCGGAUACCCAUUUGCCAAAAAAAAAUCGAUGCCAAGAUAAAAUCUAUAGAGUCACUAAGGAAUGAAUUCACAGAGUCGAAAGCUAAAACCGUGGUCAUGAUGCAGAAAACAUCGGAAGUGAGGCGAAAGCAGGACGAAUCACAACAUUUGAUUUCUUUGGCAACAAAACGGGUGCUUGAGUUGAAAGAUGAGCAUCGCCGGGCAAUUAACAGCAUUCAGAAAAUGCAGAAGGAUAUAAGGUCACUUGAGCAAGAAGUCCAGGAUAUCCAGGACCAACAAUUUAAAACUACACAGGCAGAAGAAUCUGAAAUAGAGGCAAAGCUAAAGGAACUCGAAUGCAUGAUUGAUGCUGCUGAAGCCAAAUUAUCAAGGUCAAAGAAAGAUGAAAGUCAACUAUCAGAAAGUGUCUUCAUGCAAGUAGCAAAAAUGAAUGAGAUCACUGAAGAGAUUGCAAGUUUUGAGAAAAAGGAACAUGAGAUGCGCACAACUAUUCGCCAGCUUCGGCAACACAAAACCAAUAAGGUUACUGCAUUUGGGGGAGAAAGGGUGAUUCAACUCUUACAAAUCAUUGAGAGACAUCACCAGAGGUUUAACAAGCCACCUAUAGGUCCAAUUGGCUCCCACCUUACAUUGGACAAUGGCGAUAGAUGGGCUCCUGCUGUUGAAAAUGCAAUUGGAAGGUUGCUUAAUGCUUUUAUUGUAACCAAUCAUAGCGAUUCUCUUCUCUUGAGAAGCUAUGCGAGAGAAGCAAGAUAUCAUAACCUGCAAAUUAUCAUAUAUGAUUUCUCAAGAUCUAGGUUAGUCAUCCCAUCUAACAUGCUUCCCCAGACAAAUAACCCAACUACACUUUCUGUUUUGCAUUCCAAAAAUGAUACUGUACUAAACGUUUUGGUGGAUAUGGGUGGUGCUGAGAGGCAAGUGCUUGUAGAAAAUUAUGAUGCAGGAUCAGCUGUUGCAUUUGACAAAAAUAUCCUCAAUGUGAAGGAGGUUUACACCUUAGAUGGAUAUAAAAUGUUUUCUCGUGGAUCGGUCCAAACAGUACUUCCUCCAAACAGAAGGAAUAGAACUGGCCGACUUUGUAGCUCUUAUGAUGAUCAAAUUAAGGAUCUUGAACAAGAUGCUUCAAAUGUCAGAAUGAAAGCUGAAGAAUGCAGGAAAAGGAAAAGAGAUAUUGAGGCAAAUCAUCAGCAUCUUCAACAUAAUUUAAAGAAAGAAAAGGAGACAUGCUCAAGUACUGAGCGGGAGCUGGCAUCUUACAAAUUAGCACGACGAGAUUUAAAGAAAUCUUAUGCUGCUGAAAGCAGUUUGGCACCUUUAUCAAAUGUUGAUGAACUUCUCGAAGAAAUUUCAAAACUCCAAGGGCAGAUACAAGAAAUGGAAACUUCUCUAGGAAUGCUUCAAAAUAAGAAGGAUGAAGCUGAAGCUAAGGCUAGCGACCUUAAAUUAUCAUUUGAGAAUUUAUGUGAGUCCGGAAAAGAAGAAAUCGACGCCUUUAAAGAAGCAGAGGCCAAGCUUACGAAGAUUGAAAAUGAUUUACAAUCUGCUGAAAGGGAUAAGGCCCAUUAUGAAGAAGUCAUGGCAACCAAGGUCGUAGCUGUUAUCAAAGCUGCAGAGGCACACUAUCAAGAGCUUGAAGGAAAUCGUAAGGAAAAUUGCAGAAAGGCUUCUAUUAUCUGUCCUGAGUGUGAUAUUGAAGCUUUAGGUGGUUGCGAUGGACGUACCCCAGAACAACUCAGUGCCCAAUUAAAUAGAUUGAAUCAGAGACUUCAGCAGGAGAGCCAGCAGUACUCUGAUUCUAUUGAUGACCUGAGGAUGUUGUAUGAGAAAAAACAGCGAAAAAUUCUGAAGAAGCAACAGACAUACAGAGGAUUUCGAGAAAAGUUGGAGGCCUGCAAGAAAGCCUUAGAUUUGCGAUGGAAUAAGUUUCAGAGGAAUAGUGAUCUUUUGAAGCGCCAGCUAACUUGGAAUUUCAAUGGUCAUUUAGGAAAGAAAGGGAUUAGUGGGAACAUCCAAGUUAGCUAUAAAGACAAAACCCUUAAAGUAGAGGUAAAAAUGCCUCAAGAUGCAUCAAGCACCACAGUGCGUGAUACUAGAGGACUUUCAGGUGGUGAACGCUCUUUUUCAACAUUGUGCUUUGCAUUAGCUCUUCAUGAGAUGACAGAUGCCCCUUUUCGAGCAAUGGAUGAGUUUGACGUAUUUAUGGAUGCAGUUAGCCGUAAAAUCAGCCUAGACACUGUAGUGGACUUUGCUGUGGCACAAGGAUCCCAAUGGAUAUUUAUUACCCCUCAUGAUAUCAGUAUGGUAAAACAAGGGGAAAGAAUAAAGAAGCAGCAAAUGGCGGCUCCUCGUUCUUGAUUAUACUAUUGGUUUUGCUUCCGACUGAAUGAUGUGCUAUCAUUUCGCCGAGGACAAAGAGGUUCGACAAGGAAUUCAUCUGGACAGUAGAUUCCUAAGACAAUUAAGUCUGUGGAAUGUAUCCCAACAACUAUUAAAUGGGGGGCGUUUGGGAAAUUUAUUUGGCUCCACGCCUUACAUAAAUAUCCAUGACAUGGUAACCACACCUUUAUAAAUUUAUGCUUAUUUAUUUUAGGCUUAAUCACCAAAAAAAAAUCUCACAUUUUAGCCCCUUUUCAAAUGCACCCUGACGUUGCAAUUUUGUCAGUUGCACCUUUAUUCACAUCUUUGGUUUUCAAUUCCACUUUCAAGUACUAAAUUGUUCUCUUUUUCAUUUGAAAAAAGUUAAAAUAACUCAUCCAUUUUUAAUUUUUUAUGUGGAAAAGAGUUCAAACGAGUACUUUAUAAGGGUUUUUAUGAAUUUUUUCCGAGUGAAAAAAGUUCAAUUUGAUUUUGAAGGUGGAAUUAAAAUCCAAAGGUGCGAAUUAGGGUGCAACUGAUAAAAUUGCAACGCCAGGGUGCAACUGAAAAGGGGUUAAAAGGUGAGGGUUUUUUUGAUAAUUAAUCCUUUAUUUUAUUAGAGGUGGCCAUGUAUGAGCAAAUCAAAUACAUCUUCAGUUAAGAGAAUACGGAAAUACAAUUGACUUUUAAUUGCAAACAAUAAUCCUUACAAAUAAAUUACGAGCGUUUAUGAGUGUACUAUUCAA
Mercurialis annua (annual mercury) is the source of this 4092-nucleotide RNA transcript. It is a transcript of the gene named structural maintenance of chromosomes protein 6B-like, with no coding region annotated. NCBI's taxonomy places the organism in Eukaryota, Viridiplantae, Streptophyta, Magnoliopsida, Malpighiales, Euphorbiaceae. The transcript is spliced from 29 exons. The record is from RefSeq and is a predicted model, not a curated record.